RNAcentral lists this ribosomal RNA (677 nucleotides) under Curtobacterium sp. RNAcentral describes it as "bacterial SSU rRNA". It matches the Rfam family "Bacterial small subunit ribosomal RNA", at positions 630 to 1305 of the family's 1533-position model. The record is from RNAcentral. Lineage: Bacteria; Bacillati; Actinomycetota; Actinomycetes; Micrococcales; Microbacteriaceae.
UUAGGACGAAUUCAUAGCAAGGUAACCGAUAGGAAUUCCUGGUGUAGCGGUGGAAUGCGCAGAUAUCAGGAGGAACACCGAUGGCGAAGGCAGAUCUCUGGGCCGUAACUGACGCUGAGGAGCGAAAGCAUGGGGAGCGAACAGGAUUAGAUACCCUGGUAGUCCAUGCCGUAAACGUUGGGCGCUAGAUGUAGGGACCUUUCCACGGUUUCUGUGUCGUAGCUAACGCAUUAAGCGCCCCGCCUGGGGAGUACGGCCGCAAGGCUAAAACUCAAAGGAAUUGACGGGGGCCCGCACAAGCGGCGGAGCAUGCGGAUUAAUUCGAUGCAACGCGAAGAACCUUACCAAGGCUUGACAUACACCGGAAACGGCCAGAGAUGGUCGCCCCCUUGUGGUCGGUGUACAGGUGGUGCAUGGUUGUCGUCAGCUCGUGUCGUGAGAUGUUGGGUUAAGUCCCGCAACGAGCGCAACCCUCGUUCUAUGUUGCCAGCGGGUCAUGCCGGGGACUCAUAGGAGACUGCCGGGGUCAACUCGGAGGAAAGGUGGGGGAUGACGUCAAAUCAUCAUGCCCCUUAUGUCUUGGGCUUCACGCAUGCUACCAAUGGCCGGUACAAAAGGGCUGCGAUACCCGAAGGUGGACGAAUCCCAAAAAGCCGGUCUCAGUUCCGAUUGAGGUC